GAUGAACGCUGGCGGCGUGCCUAAUACAUGCAAGUCGAGCGAACAGACGAGGAGCUUGCUCCUCUGACGUUAGCGGCGGACGGGUGAGUAACACGUGGAUAACCUACCUAUAAGACUGGGAUAACUUCGGGAAACCGGAGCUAAUACCGGAUAAUAUAUUGAACCGCAUGGUUCAAUAGUGAAAGACGGUUUUGCUGUCACUUAUAGAUGGAUCCGCGCCGCAUUAGCUAGUUGGUAAGGUAACGGCUUACCAAGGCAACGAUGCGUAGCCGACCUGAGAGGGUGAUCGGCCACACUGGAACUGAGACACGGUCCAGACUCCUACGGGAGGCAGCAGUAGGGAAUCUUCCGCAAUGGGCGAAAGCCUGACGGAGCAACGCCGCGUGAGUGAUGAAGGUCUGCGGAUCGUAAAACUCUGUUAUUAGGGAAGAACAAAUGUGUAAGUAACUAUGCACGUCUGGACGGUACCUAAGCAGAAAGCCACGGCCAACUACGG
This 496-nucleotide ribosomal RNA is filed under the name uncultured bacterium. RNAcentral's name for it is "partial 16S ribosomal RNA". It matches the Rfam family "Bacterial small subunit ribosomal RNA", at positions 28 to 506 of the family's 1533-position model. The record is from RNAcentral.